This 49-nucleotide non-coding RNA is filed under the name Trypanosoma brucei brucei. The record is from RNAcentral. Lineage: Eukaryota; Euglenozoa; Kinetoplastea; Trypanosomatida; Trypanosomatidae.
AACCACAAUCAAUAAGUAAGAGACUACUAGAUGAUAGAUAAUUAGAUUA